GAUGAACGCUAGCUACAGGCUUAACACAUGCAGGUCGCGGGGCAGCAUGGGGGUUGCUUGCAAUCCCCGAUGGCGACCGGCGCACGGGUGAGUAACGCGUAUCCAACCUGCCCUUCACCACGGGAUAACCCGGCGAAAGUCGGACUAAUACCGUAUGUUGUCCAUUGACGGCAUCCGAUUUGGACGAAAGGUUUGGCGGUGAAGGAUGGGGAUGCGUCCGAUUAGCUGGACGGCGGGGUGACGGCCCACCGUGGCGACGAUCGGUAGGGGUUCUGAGAGGAAGGUCCCCCACACUGGAACUGAGACACGGUCCAGACUCCUACGGGAGGCAGCAGUGAGGAAUAUUGGUCAAUGGGCGUAAGCCUGAACCAGCCAAGUAGCGUGCAGGAUGACGGCCCUAUGGGUUGUAAACUGCUUUUAUGCGGGGAUAAAGUGGCCCACGUGUGGGUUUUUGCAGGUACCGCAUGAAUAAGGACCGGCUAAUUCCGUG
RNAcentral lists this ribosomal RNA (490 nucleotides) under uncultured bacterium. Its description in RNAcentral is "partial 16S ribosomal RNA". It matches the Rfam family "Bacterial small subunit ribosomal RNA", at positions 28 to 507 of the family's 1533-position model. The record is from RNAcentral.